Molecule: ribosomal RNA, 253 nt
Filed under: uncultured bacterium
Lineage: Bacteria
Description: partial 16S ribosomal RNA
Rfam family: Bacterial small subunit ribosomal RNA
Source: RNAcentral
UACGAAGGGGGCUAGCGUUGCUCGGAAUUACUGGGCGUAAAGGGUUCGUAGGUGGCUUGCUAAGUCAGACGUGAAAUCCCUCAGCUUAACUGGGGAACUGCGUCUGAUACUGGCGAGCUUGAGUGCAGGAGAGGAACGCGGAAUUCCAGGUGUAGCGGUGAAAUGCGUAGAUAUCUGGAGGAACACCGGUGGCGAAGGCGGCGUUCUGGACUGCAACUGACACUGAAGAACGAAAGCCAGGGGAGCAAACGGG